AUAAUUUUACAAUAAAAAAACAGACACAUACAAAAACUUCAGAAUUCAUGUAAACUAUAAUUUCAUUAAAAAAUACAACUGAUAUCCAUCAUUUCACCAAGGUUCAAAUACCCAUCGGUCCACAUUUCAUUCCGAUUAAGCGUUGAGCUAAACCUUUUUCAGUGUUCCAACAUAAAAGCAAUCAAUACAAUUGGCAUUGAUGCAUCAUUGUUUAAGUUUUUUCACUACAAAAAUUCUGAAUUAUCAAGUUGUCAUGUCCGAGGCAUAGACACUUUCGAAUAGGAUGGGCUGCAAGGUGAAAAUCACUAGUCCUACUCAGGUCUUUUCUCCACUCCGCAUCUACAUCAGGUACCACAACUCGAUGUUCGUUGAACUACAAAAAAAGGAAGUUCGCACCAUGUAUCCAACUGAGAAUUGUAACAAUUACAUGAGCACAUGAUGACUAUAGCUUAGAUUUUUAAUAACAAUCAGCAGAACUUGUUGAGAAAAAAGAUAAGAGCCAGAAUACUAACUUCUAUUUUUGGUUAUUGUGUCAUACAUUUCAGUAAUAAUUACUAAAUAAGUAAGGACAAAAGAAAGGAAGAUGAUAAGCAAUAGAUCAUUAUUGUCAAGCUUCUCGCCAAUAUAUAAUUCCAAAAUUAGUAAAAAUGGGGACAAAAAAAUGUAUAAUGGGGAAAGUAAGGACAAAACAAACAUGGAUUUUUUAGUGCAUAGAAUUAAAGGCAUCUAUCUAUAAAAGGAUGUAAGGCAGUCUAACAAACAAUUCACAAACAAUGUAUUCUCCGGCAGUGUCGUAUGUGUAAAUGAAUGCAUAGAAGAACUUGUGCAACAAAUAUAAAAAAUUGUUAUUGUUCUUCAGAAGACCCUAACCAACAGUAAGCAUCACUUCUAAAAAUAGUGUACCAAGGAAGAUUCAAACCUGGAGCUAGCACAAGCACGAUGAAAGUACUAAAUUACUAAUAGAUAUAUGGCACAUGCCCGCACUCCACUACUGUUACAAGUUACUUCCCUGAU
This 1014-nucleotide long non-coding RNA is filed under the name Triticum aestivum (bread wheat). RNAcentral describes it as "long non-coding RNA (TAES_LNC014817)". Lineage: Eukaryota; Viridiplantae; Streptophyta; Magnoliopsida; Poales; Poaceae. The record is from RNAcentral.